GUCUCUUCUCAGCCUUUUGGCUAAGAUCAAGUAUAGUAUCUGUUCUUACCAGUUUGAGGGGGAAGGCAGCUUAUGAGUACCUUUAUUCUUAUGUAAUAGAUCAUUAGUAUUUCAUUAUAAAACUCAUUAUAUUAAAACAAUAUUCAAGCUGAACUAAC
The sequence is a small nuclear RNA, 158 nucleotides long. Its record names the gene U2. It matches the Rfam family "U2 spliceosomal RNA". From Rfam's summary of the family: U2 is a small nuclear RNA (snRNA) component of the spliceosome (involved in pre-mRNA splicing). Complementary binding between U2 snRNA (in an area lying towards the 5' end but 3' to hairpin I) and the branchpoint sequence (BPS) of the intron results the bulging out of an unpaired adenosine, on the BPS, which initiates a nucleophilic attack at the intronic 5' splice site, thus starting the first of two transesterification reactions that mediate splicing. The record is from Ensembl.